This is a non-coding RNA of Rattus norvegicus (Norway rat), 14170 nucleotides long. The record is from RefSeq and is a predicted model, not a curated record. Lineage: Eukaryota; Metazoa; Chordata; Mammalia; Rodentia; Muridae.
UUCUCUAGUAACAUAAGUCAUAAUGCCUUCCCAAUAGAACUGAGUAUCUCUAUGUCCUGGAGUCACACUGAGCCUUGGCCGGACCUAGUCGGCUUUGGGCAUCGGUGCCAACGUGGGUAGCAGCCGCUGAGUCAAGCGAUUUGGAUGACCGAGCGGCUGGAGUGGCAGAGCAGAGCUGCCAUGUGACUCGGUUUGCUGGCAGAGAGCUCACCUCACUUCCACUCCCGAGGCCUGGACCAAACCAGGCAUGGUGCCACUGGCCUGUGAUCCCAGAAUCCAGGAGGUGAAGGCAGGAGGAUUAGAAGUUAAAGCUUGUCUUUGGCUGUGAGUUCAAGGCCAUCCCGGAGGGCUAGCUGAUGACUAGAGGAAGAAACUGUGGAACACAGAAACCAUGAUAGGCACACGGACAUGAAAAAGAAGGGACUCUGCCAGUUACAACAGGAUGGAUGAAACAGAAGGACACUCGCGUAAGAGAGCCAUGCGCCGAAAGGGAAGCUUCACAUGCUGUACAUAGGCAACGUCUAAGUUUGUCCCACCAUGAGGAAAACAGAUGAACGAGGUCAUCCCUUCUUUUGAAGGAGACAGGGAAACUCACUGGUGCCAUCGGAACUCUGAAAACGCCAAGAAUUCUGAGAAUGAAGAAAACCCAACGUGAUACCCACCCUAAACCACCAGUUACACAAUUGUCUCAAGACUCCGAGAUAAUCUAGGUUCAAUCAAGUUUAUUUAUUGGACCUCAUCAUUACAUAUAUCUGGAAGCCCAGUUCUCUAACACAGUCCAAGAGAUGAGAUGAUAAUCUGGAGACCUUAUUUGCAGUAGGGUGGGACAGUCUUGUGUCUGGUCUCUUAAAACAAGCAACAUGACUUUAUGAUCGAGGGAGCAGUGCCCUUGACCAUCAACCAUAUGGGGAAAAAAAUCAAGCUCAUGGAAGCCAUGUAAACUUGUUAAAGGCCUUUGCCAAGCGAUUUGUAGAUUUCCCCACGUUUUCACAUGUAUGCAAACAGACAAGGGCAAACUAAUAGUAACACAAUUUUCUUUGUGACUGAAGAGAGAGGCAAGAAGUAAGAUGGUUAAAACUAGGCAAGUCGCACCCAUCCCCCACUGCAUCCCCCACCACUACCAAUUUCACAAGGCCACCCUUCCCUGACCAGUCUUCAUCUUCUGUCUUCCCUUCCCCAGAUAAAAUCACCACACAUUCUUUAAUAAUGCCACCACUAUCCUUCAUACAAAUUCCAAAGGGAUCAAGGCCAAGGGUAGCAGUGGCCUUGUGAUUUACUACUACUGACCUGAGUUUGGCUCUUGAGUGUAUCAGACAGGUGUAGAAAUGAAAAAGAAGAGGAAAAAGAAAGAAGAGCUCCGGUUGACAAUGAAAGUGCUUCCUGGAGUUCUCCUGCAAGUGAAAGGCAAGUUCUGUUUGCCAUCAGUAGAACAUUUGACACCAAGCAGGGUGUCCCAGCACCAUGAGUCACUCAUCAAUCUCGACAUCUUUAAAUAGAAACAAAACGAUUAGUCACUGGUUCAGAACUAUCUACUAGUGACUGAAGAUAGAUGGUUAAGGUAGCUGAAUGUGAGGCAGUUUUCAUACUCAGCGAAGGGAGCACAGGACAAUCCGUAGGCGGGUCAGGGGAACUGCAAGAUAAAGACCUCUGGUUUGGUCUAACACUUAUCCUUACCCUUUAGGGGCUAAAAAUAGCUUCAAUGUGUAAAGAGUGCCUAUGUCUACUCACCUUUCUUUCAUGGCCUGUUAUCUGGGAGAGUUUACCCAACUCUGGUGUCCACGCUCCAGUAGCCUUGUCUUCUCCUCCUCCACUUCAAGUUCUAUAUGAUUUCUAUUUGUUCUCUCAUCUCCAGAACAGGCCCUGCCAAGAAACCAUGGUUCAAUUUAUGCUAUUUUCUCAUUUUCCUGCCCGCCCGCCCUCUCCUGUGCAAAGGACACUCACAGCCCCUUUGAGUGUACCACGGUCGGUGAUACGUCCAUGAUCUCUGAUGCCCUUUCUUUAUGUAUAGAGACAUGCACUUCUCUGUCUCAAAGGCCUGUGCCUAAUUCAGAUCACAGUGAUCAUAGAUCCUGGGAGUUCAGGAGAACCUUGUGUGUAGACACGACACAGUCCACUGAUGGUGUGCACUUCAGCAGACACAAAAGUGAUGGGAAAUCUGUAUGUGAUGUCACAGAGCUGUUGUCAUCCAUGAGUGGACACUGGCUAGUUAUUGGUCUUUUUUGUUUAGAACAGUUAUGUAAAAUAUAUUGUCUGACACGAUAUAGUAGUAAAGAUUGCCACAUAUUUUAGCAAUAAUAUUAAGCAUUGAGUAAGACCUGCUCAGUCACGAACUACUCUUGUUUCAUAGCAACUGUAAUUAUUACCACCAAUAAUGUCAUUUAAUAACCAAUGUGCAUUUAUGUGUACUUGAUGGCGUGUUAAGUAUUUCACGCGUAUUUUCUCAUUUAAUAUUACUAAUAAGCCCAAAGGGCUGUUGUUCUGACUUCUACCUAUCUUUUCUGGAUGAAGAAAAGCUAUGUACGUAGAGUUGAAACAAAACACCAUGGGUUUGUUCUUUGAAAACUCACAGGACAGAGAGCAAGGUAAAGCCCCACCACCACCACAGAGCCUGUCCUCCAAAUCUCUGGCACCUGGAGAAAGAGGCAAAGCACGCCCUGGGGAGUGAUUCCAGGGCUUAGGGACUUUGCACUGGGUGAAAGGCACUUAGAGCUAGAAAUAGUGUCUGUGAGACUUGUACACAUUUAACCUGAACCGACAUUGUGCUAUACCUCCGAGCAUGCAAACUUCCAUAGCUGAGAUACAAGAAGCUGUUAUUAUUUUUUAAGAAGAGGGGAUAAUUCACUGUAAGCCUUUAUUCUCCCCCCAAAUAAGAAUUUUUAAGCUUAAUGUCAUUUGUAUGAUUUGGCAUGUAAAUGCACUCCAGAAUGUAGUGGUCUCCAUCCUUGUAGUGAGCUGCUGGCUCUGGGAAACUCUGUCCUUGAGUGCCCAGGUAGAGGGAGACAGGGGCAGUUCAGGACAGAGACACAGAGAACUGACCAGAGCAGCGGUGACUAGUGGUGAGUCAGUAAGAGUGACUAGCAAUGGCGAGAGGACAGUGGGGCUGUCAGAACACCGUGUGAGGCCUUGCCGGUUUAUAAAGAUCUUGAUUGCCUCCCACCUGCUACGAUAAAGGGGCUGUUCACCAAGGACAGGAGACUGGGAUUCUGUCUUGAGUCUGCAUAGACACAGAUGCUUCCCGGAGUGUUUGUUUUCUCUUUAGCUUUGUCCACAAACUCCAGACCGAAUGUGAGGCUUUAUCCUAGAUAAUGCAAUCUUGAAUUAAUACCACCUGUCCCACUUCAAGGUAGCUCCUACCUCUUAAUAUAUAGCCACCAAUGUCUGUUCCACCACACAGACUUGCAAAGGGAUAGUUCUUGGGAGAGUGCAGGUUCUCAAGGUAAAAUCUACCGUGUCCGGUUUUAUUGUCACUACACUGCCGCACUUAGCUGCUGUGGGUGGAGCUGUGUUGUCUGGUGCCUGAGGCGGCAACACCCCCUUCCCCAGCCCAUGCACAAAGCAAACAAGGACUACAUAACUUGGAGAAGCCAUUGAUGAAAAAGACAAGAUCGGGAAAGUCUCCAGGUGGUCAAACUGAGUGCACGGGAACUGAUCACAAGUGUUCACUUGGGUGCUUGAAAAGUGGCUUGCAGGCUGAGAGGAUUGGUUGCUCUUCCAGAGAACCCGGGGUUUAAUUCCCAGCACCCAUAUCAGGCUAACAACUGUCUAUGACUACUGUUCCAGGGGAAACUAUAUAUUGAUAUAUCACAUGUUGUAUAUAUUAGAAAUUAUAUUUAUCAUAUAUUAUUUUUACACAAUAUUAUUAUAUCAAGUAUAAUCAAUGUAUUAAUAAUGUUGUUAAUGGUAUUAUCAUAAUCACAUUAAUGGUCGAAAUGAUUAACUUUCUUUGAGACAGAGGGUCAUGUAUCCCAGGUUGGCUUUGAACUCAUGAUGCAGCCAAGAUGUCUCUAUAUAAAGACGUCUACAGCAUGGGCCUUUUUUUGGCGCACAGUGAUAUACAGACAAACAUGUGUUAUUGGGGGAGAAACUGGGCAGAGGAGCAUUUGACCGGCCCGCACGUUUAAACGGGGUGUAGCCACCUCUGUCUUAGGAUCGACCUCUAAAACCCCAGCCUUAUCUGUCAUAGGAUCACCUCGUCGCCCCCAAGGUUCCUGUCUUAGAUUGGUCAAGGGUCAGAGGAAGUUGCCCGUCCCUGAGGAUAGCUACAUCAGGUCAUCUUCUCAUUCCUCUCACUUGAGCCCAGGGGCGAAAGAGCAAGAGCCAGAUGGCAUUAAUAUAAGAGAUUGUGGAAAUUGAGCCUCUCCCGAUAAGUUGUAGGCACCUCAUCUUGUUCGUUGUCUCUCUGGUUCUCCUCAGCUGUUCCGGUCUCCAAGCGAUGAUAAUGUACUGAAACAGAAUUUCUAGGCAAAGCAGAAUCUAUUUGUGAUUUAAUAAAGCGUGUAAGUCGUUGGAAGGCCCAAGGACCAAAGGAAAUCAACAAAAGUAGGCCCACAAGGGAUCCCAAAAUUGAGGGCAACAAGGUAGAGAGCCAUGGGGAUGUAGAAAACCAGUUUUGGUACCAAGACUCUUGUUGUUUUCUCUCUCUCCUUCGUUUUUCUAGGCUAUCUCUCACCUUUUUUAGACUGUCUUCUACAAGUCCAGUCUUAUCUACAUAAACACAGCAUUCCUCUUUUAAGGCUGCACAAAGUCCUCCUUGUUGUAGGAAGAUUAAGUCUAGGCCUCUUCUAUUUUGUAAGACUACUUCAGACAACGAGGCAACUGAGUCUUUUAAGUUAGCUAAUCCAUCUCUUAAUUCAACAAUAUCCUUAUCUAUGGCUUCACUAAGCUGGUUAUAGUAUUGAUGGGAAGUAACGAGGGAAGCGAUGCCAGUGCCUGCACCCGUGGCCCCUAGACCUAGGAGAACGAGUCUCUGUGGCAUAUUCUGUUCUGAAAACCCUGAGGCCGACUCAGAGAAAGAGCAACAGGAGAGACAGAGGCACAGAGCCGGAGCAAACCGGCAGGGCAUACCCUUGAAAGAGUAAGCUGACCCCCUGGCUGUGUAAUGCACUUGAUUCUCCUGGGAAGAAUGAAAAAACCAGGAAACUGCUCCCUUCCACAUAAACCAGGGUUUCUGGAUCACAAAUCAUCGCUUCCUGAGUCCAAGGCGGGGUGCUUGUCAACAGGGGAAGGCCAUGAAGAAGAGCUCACCACAUUAACAUGGUUACCUCAUUUCCACUGACUGGACUACAAAGGCAUUUCAAGCUCAGUACUUCUAUUGGGCACCUCCUGAGUACUACACUUGGUCGUGUAGACACAGAAACGAGCAGGAGUCUGCUUGUCGCCCAGCAGCUUGUGACACUUAAUGAUAACUGCCCAGCGUGGAGGUUGGAGUGUGGGAAAAUACUUAUAAGACAUUGUAAUAAAUGCUUUAUAAUAAAUAAGUGGAUAUAUAAUAAACGACAUAUCAAGAGGGAUUAACAAGAUGCCUUGAAAGUGGAGAAGGAACUUCAGAUAAAAGAAGCACCCCAGGGAGGGGAGGCCUCGGAAGGAGGUAGGCACAAAUCAAAUACAAGGGACAGAAUGUGUUUGGAGAGCGUUACGUCAUUGCUGAGAUGGCUGGGAAGUUGGCUUGCAUAGCUUCUUUGGAAGUGUAGCAACCCAUCCCUUUGUGUUUUGGGAUUCAGAAGGAAGGGUGUGGAAGUGGUACACAGGAGAGGACUAUUGAAUGUGCACAAGACAACUGCAAAGGACAAAGUCAGGGGGCAGCAGUGACAAUCCAAUGUCAGACUGCACCGGAUUCGAAGAAUGCAUUUAUAAAAAUAUGUACUAACAAAUUAGUGCGGAAUGCACAUCUUCAGACUUGGUCUGCAUAUAGAGUUUAUCUAAAGACAACCAACUUCAGGGAUAGAGGGGACCAUGGAGUUUCUGGCUUGCUGGGGUAGGUUGCUGGGCAGCCCACAUGGCAGAUAAAGGGACACAUUGGUCAGCGAGUAUGCUUUUGGGACUCGUUGAGGUGAGGUAACUCUCAGGAUACCCGGGUGGAAGCGCCCAGAUGAUUCUAUAUAUAGGCAUUUGUUGCUAAGGAAACUUUUGGCUUAGUUCUCACAUCAGUCUGAGCUCCGGAGAGGGAUAAAAGAAUCCAGACAUAGUAGAGAAGGAGCCUAGGAGCCUGGGGGGAUUUCUUAUACCUGGUCUUUCUUCCAGCCUAUCAUCAGAAGUACAAGGAAGAGACUGGUGAGGGACCCGUGAGGUGAAGGGGAGGAAGGAGGAAGGUAUACACUAGGAGCUUAAGAGAUCAGAAUUUUCUGGUGACGGAUCCAGCUGCAGCAGACACUCUUGGCAAGUCGUGAAAAAUAAGGGGCUGGGAGAAUUUAUUGACAAUGGCACGGGAGACGGGACAAAGCACAGAUCAACUAUGAGUCAGGUAACUUCAGAGUGGAAAAGGUAUUGAUCUCUUCUCUAUGAAAAUAAGUCAUUCAUUUCAGUCUUCAAACGUAGGGAAUGUUUGCCCCUCAGAGCCAAAGGCUGACUCCACUCAAGUAACCAUUAUGAGAGUAAAUAUUACUGUUCAUCAUAAUUUCUAAGUAAGGAAUGUGAUAAACUCACUACAGAUAAUAACCCAGACCCCUUAACACACGCUUUCUUUGUGAUGAGUAAGCAGAAACCUAUCUUCUUUGUGUGUAAGAGUUGGAAGCUGGCUCAUUACCCUUGAACGAUGAGGCAGCCCUCUUUCCUGGUGGCUUAUCCUAAUCUAACCUUCAGGAAAAGUACAUUAUCAAGAGCCUCUCAAAGCAUCAUAGAAUUUGUUUUGGCUUUGUGUGCUGUGACAGAUACCUGAGAUGAUUAAUUUAUAAAGGCUUAUUUUGCUUCCUAGACUUGGAGGCUCUGGUCCAUGACUGGUCCGUGCCAUUUCUUUGGUCUUGUGGUAUAGUGAGGAAACAGAUACUUCUCAGCCUUCCUCCAGAAAGAGAAAGAGCGAAGUCUUAAAAGCCACCUAAGUACAGUCACCUCAAUGGCCUAAAGAAUUCCAGCUUCUGGCCUGCGUUGGGCAGUCCCAUCAUCUGCCGCAGCUGACACACAGAGGCCAAAGCCUUCACACACAGGCCUCUGAGGAGCAGUCAGGACCCAGUCUCCCUCCCAAUUCUGACUUUUUAUCUCUGUCUCUGGAAAGCCACACGGAUGUUAUAAAAUAUUAUGAAAUACAGUGGGCUACAGCACUGAGAAACACUGACUUAUUUAAAAAUUAAGUUAGGAACAGAUUUCCACAAAUUAAGGAAAUGCUAGAAAUUUAAGUACAAUUUUCAGUGGAGUUGAAAUAGUAAGUAGCUUCCUGUUGACCUGAGGUGAACCAGGAAGUGUUUUAUUAUACCUUGUCAUUUUCGUUAAUUUUAGGACGUUCUAGAUAUUUGCAAGACAAACUUUCUCUGUGUAGCCCUGGCUGUCUUGAAGCUCACUGUGUAGACCAGGCUGACCUCAAACUCAGAGAUCCGCCUGCCUCUGCCUCCCAAGUGCUGGGAUCACAAGCAUGUGCUACCACUCCAAGAUACUGUAAAUUUUAUACAAAAAAUUGCUCAGAAUUGAGGUUUUAUCCCAACAAGAGAAGUUGUAGUUGGUCAUAGAUCUGACCUUGGUAGAUAUAAAUGGAAGGAGCAUUUGUGCUUGAACAUAAAUUAUUCUCUGUACAUAGUCUCUGAUUUGCUUAGAAUUUUCUCAACCGUAUAUAAAACUGUGUUGUUGGACAUGCUUGGGAAGCCAGUGUGUGCUGUGGUUCAUAAACCUAAAGGGCAAACCCCACUGACAUUGUGUGGCAAACAGGCGGACACUGAGCUAUAUCUCCAGGCCCAUUUUCUCACUGUUCGUCUCGAUCAAGCCCUUCCUAUGUGAGCUUCCAUUUGCACGGUGGUUCCACUGAAAAACCUCUGUUGUCGGUGACAUAACCGUCACUUGCCAGAUCCUUUGGCAGUUGCCAUUCUUCAUCUUAUUCCUGUGACAUGGGUAACUGUCCCCUCCCUAAGGCAGCGGUUUCUGCCCCUGUCCAUUCCCUACCUUGCCUUGUGUUCUCUUGUCUUCCUAGACAGAACCUAUUGGCUUCAUUUCCUCUCAUUCCCUAACCAGUGUGUUCAACAAAAAUAUAGCAUGAUCCACACAUGUGAUGUCAAAUCUCCCACUGUUUGGAUUCCGUGUUGUCAGUAAAAGAAAACGGAUGACAUUAACAUUAAUAGCAUGUUUAAAUCAAUCUGAUAUGCCCCAAACAUUAAAAUUUCAAGAAAUAGUAAGCAUAAAUCAAUAUACCAGUAUGAUAAUAUAAAUUAUUUUCAAAUUAUACAUAUAGUUCUCAAAAUCCAGUGAGUCAUCUGCACUUUCAGAAGAGAUUAGCUUGGAUGAGCAUAGGUUCCCAUAGCCACUUGUAGCUGCCAUAUUGGAUAGCAUAGUUCUACAUGCUAGGAUGCUCCAGGACCCAGCCCCUACUCUGUCUGUAAGUCUUAUCUAAAUAACCUAGGUGAGCAUAAAUUUUCUAUAGACUGACUUAGUUAUUUGGUAAGUAUAUGUCAAACUAAUAUGUUCUAAAUACUAGUUGUCCGACAGUGAGCAAAAUAAAUGAAGACGUGAAUAAACAGAGUUCCUUCCCUGGUGGAGUCCAUUUCCUAGUAGGAAAGAAACAGACAAAAAGCAAGAAAUUAACAAGCAUGUUAAUUAUAUGACAUAACGGAACAUGCUGAGAGCUGAGGUAGGGGCGUGACAUUAGGGGAGCAAAAGAGGGAUUGAGUGAUGUAGGGCUUUUUGUGGAGCACUAAAGUGACUCUGGCUUUUACCUCUAAUGGCGAGCAGGAGAAACCCAUGGCUCGACUUAAGCUAUGAAGAUUGUUUGGGCUGUCGCACUGAGAAUACAGAGUAGCAGGUGGUGGGGUGGAUGUGGCCAGACAGCUGACUGCUGCUGUAAUCUGGGCUGAGAGAUGCUGAUGCUGGCUGUGGUGGUUCACCUCUACCUCUGUUGUCAACUUGAGCAGAUCUACAGCCCCCUAGCAAACAAACCUCUUGCUAUGUCUGUGAGGAAGCUUCUCCAAUACAGUUCAGUGAUGUGAGAAGACCCACACUAACUGUGGGAGGCAACAUUCUGAGGACAGGGGCCUGCACUCAAUAAAACGGAGAAAGGAGACCGAACAACAGUGUUCACUGCUUCUUGUUUCUUGACAGAAGAUGAAAAAAAAUGAAUGAAAAUAAAUAAAUUAAUAUAACCAAUACACAGACUCUCUGCCGUAAUGGGGUUCUGAGAUCAGCAACUGGCCCUGGCAGGAUGGACUCUCCUUUGGAACUGUAAGUCCAAAUAAACCCUUCCUCCUUAUGUUGCUUCUUGGCAGGCAUUGGUUCAUAGCCUUGAGAUAAGUAACAAAGCGAUGACCUUGACCCUGUUACCUGGCAACGCAGUAAGAGUCCUAAGAAGUUCUCUCACAGCACCUGGGAAUCAGCUUCACAUAUCCAGCCGGUUCAGGGACGUAGAACAAACGUCUUGCUGAUGGGUAGUCAUUUGACUUUUAAUUAAGUUAAGAUUCAGUUCUUCACAAACACUAUCUUAGCCCUGUUUCAAGUUGGUAGCCUCUGUCUUGGAUACCACAGACACAUACUGCUUGUCUUUCCAGAAUCGUUCUGAACAGCUCUGAUGUAGGCGGAACCGAGACUCCUGUAUUGCUCUCUAAUCAACUGCCUGCUGGGUGCCUCUACUCCAUUAGGUUUUGAUUGUGUCAAUCUACGUCUAACAAGAAUCUCGAGGAAGGCGGUCCAGAUGCCCGAUUUCAGUCUUUAAAGCUGUGGUCUCUGUUGCCCAUCAGGUUUGCUACCAUUUUGCUCAUUCCAUAAGUGGGAUCACUCUCCACUGUUGCCCCAUUGCUUAGGAAUCCUUCCUGCUUCCCACAUAGGGUCCCCACUGACCCUUGUCGCCUUUAAUCCAUUAGCAUAUGCACAUUCGCUUUCAUCUACAGGACCUCUGAGUAGCUUCUUUUCCAUCACUGGUGAAAGCUAUCACAUCUCGCACUUGGACCACUGGGACAGUUCCUAAAUGAGUAGUUUGAACCGUGACCUUACAUUGGAAUCACGUGGGAGUUAAUCACACAGACCUAUCUGCUCAAGGCUCACUUCACCACAGAAACAAUGUCCUGGCUCUGUUCCAUGCCUGCAGGUGGCGGUUGUCCCCGGAAAAGCUUUCUAUGUGAUUUCUCUGUGCCUCCAGGCCAGUGGGUGGACCAUUGUCACAAACUUCUCCUCUAAGCCCCAUUGUCUAGCUUCCUCUGCCCAGCUAGUGUGCCUUUUCUAAGUCAAAAAUCAGGUCUUCUUGCUUCAAAGGUUCAAAUGAUCUCUCCUUGUUCGGUGAGACUCUGAAACUUCCGACCUCCAAAGAUCUUGUCCUGCCUGUGUUCUUACCUAGCUGGCUUCUGCCCAUGUCACCUUAGAGAGGUGUCCUGUCCUUGUCAUAAAGGACUGUUUUCUCCUCUUGUUCGGACACCAACCACCCUCCUUUCUCAACUCCCUGCUUUGUUCUCUGUAUGGAAGCCAUUACUCUGCAAUGAUCUUGUUGAAGAAUUUUCAUGUAACAUACAAGGGCUGGACCCAGGCCUCCCUGAUCAUAUGUAGCAAAUGUGUAGCUUGACCUUCCUGUGGGUCCUGAACAACUGGAGUGGGGGCUGUCCCAAAACUAUUGCCUGUACAUGGGAUAUGCUCUUCUAGCUGGGCUGCCUUGUCUGGCCUUUUUGGGAGAGGAAGUGCCUAGCCUUGAAGAGCCCUUAAGUGCCAUGGUAUGGGAGGAUUCUCAGGGUGCCCCCACCUGCUCAGAAGAGAAGAUUCAGGUGAGGGGUGGGAUGAGGGAAGAAUGUGGGAGGAGCUGACCUGCAGCCCGGCAGUGAGCGGGAUGUCAAACAAAAUUAUUAAGUUAAAAAAAUGUUUUAUUGCUUUUCUCUUCUUACCUAUGACUAAGAUAUUAAUUCCAUGAGAACGCUUUCAUAAGUCAAAUCCUGAUGAUUUGUCCCAGAGCAACUUAGGAAUGAAGAAAGGCCAAAAAGACAGACACCAGACACACAGACACACAUACACACACAUACGUAGAGAAUCUGGGAUCAGAUGGGCCAUGCUCACUAUGACAGAGGGUUCUUAAUAACCGAAAGCAUCACAGUGUUUAAUGUGUGCAGCCUCAGGGCGGGGUCAGUUGGUCUCAGUAGGAGGUCUCUGUGGGGGAACAAUCCCAUGUUGCCAUCAUCAUGGAAGGGAAACUUUCGGUUGCUGUCCUUGCACACGCCGGCCAGUCCUUUGUUGACCCUUAUACUUGAAUCAGAAAAAAGGCUCUGCCAUCCCUCAGAGCCCCAUACCUGGAAGGCUUGCCCGCUCCCAGGAGUCUGAGGCAUUGACGUCUUGACUCAGCUGUACUCAUGCCAAUAAAUAUUCAUCCACUCCGGAUCUCUGCAACCCACAAUUGUGUUUAUUUUCCAACUGUUUACCUCCAGCCACUAGAAUAGGAUCUGACAACAGACCAAUAUACCCGGACGCCCUUUCUCGUGUUUAAGCUGAUAAUAGAAACGGCAGCACCAGUGGCUUAUGGUGUGCUUGCCACCUGUGCGACACGGCGUUUGCUUGCUCAAUCAUUUUGGGGGUCUCCUGAGAUGGGCACCCCACAUCCUCUUUACUCAUGACAGCACUGUCUGUAAAGCCUGUGAACUGGAACAUGACUGACCUACAAGGGGAGCCAGAGCUGGAACCGGAGUCUGUUCCAGGCCCAGGUCAGACCUUGAUAACAAAGCAAGCAUGGCUUGUGACCAUUUACUAAAGACUUGGGAAGCGAAGACAGGAAAUGACAACAGGUGCGUUUUAGAAACUCCCCAUGUCGGAUAGUUUUUGAGCAGCGUAGACAACUUUCCUUUCCAAGUGGGUCCACCUCUGGGGUCACUAAAGUGGCAUUCUUUUGGCCCUGUGAAGGACUUGAACGCCUUCCGCUUUGCCUCUGUGUUUUUUUCCCCCUUCUGUGCAGCAUGCAGUUUGGUCUAAAGAAUUCCAUCUCCAAGCAGCUACCAGGGCUACUUGUAGCCUCAAUGAUCUUCUUUGAGGAAAGGAAAAAAAAAAAAAAAGAAUCUCUGAACUUUGUAAUACAGUCCAGUGAUGCAUGAGAAACCUUUGUCAGAUCCAGGAGGAAAAGGAAAAUAAAAAUACUGUUCUCAUCUGGGGUGUAUCCCAGGACUGGACGGGAAUGCUAAUACUGACCACAGGGAAGUAAGUUUCCAAUCAAAGCACCCUUGAACUCCAUGAGAAAAGAGGUUGCAGUGAGCGAGAUCUAUGGGUGCCUUCUGGGAAUCUCUGAGCCACACAUAUCUCCUAGAAUCGAUUCCCCCAGACCUGCGGCAGAGAUCGGGUCUAAUGAAAACGCAGAGGAGCGCACAGGUUUUCUAGUGGGAGUUUUGGGCUUUUUUUCCCUACUUGUAACUAAGCCACUUCGCUCAGUGUUUUUGUUAAUGACUCCAAAUUUAAUGUGACUGGAUGUGCUUACAUUAGAAUUGACUGGAUGGGGGCUCGGGCACCCAUACGGAAGGUGGGCCAGGACACUAACAAAGAUGUGCUUCUCUUUUAUAGCAUGCAUGUAUACAUGCGUGCGUGUGUGUGUGUGUGGGGGGGUAUUCGAUGUAUAUAUGCACGCACAUACCCACAAACCCACACCCACAUGUAUACAGGCAAGCUUUCACACAUACAAGGACAUGUGUGUUUUGUGUUCACAGAUGUUCACUCAUGCAUGUGAACGACAUAUGUAUGUAUGUACAGAGAAGCUCACAAUCAUACUUACAUGCUCAAUACCCUUAUGCAUAUACCACACAUAAGAAUACUUACAUGGAAUAACUAUGUCCUCAAACAGCACACACAUAUCUGCAUAUAUACAUAUGUAUAUACAUAUACAUGUGUGCUUAUGUAUGUGAGCACACACCGACAGGAUACCCUUUGCCCUACAGACUACAAGGCUCAGGUGCACCAUAGUUGGGGCUUCUUGUAGCCAGCAACCUUUGGAAUGUGCCUUGAGACCUAGGGAUGCUGUCUGUCACCAGGGACGCCUCACUGCCGCUCCCACGUCCCCAGCAAGGAAGCAGGGCGCAUGCCCGCAUUCCUUUCCAGCAGGACCGGGUGCCUCUGCCAAGGGUCUAGGGGGCGGAGCAGUGCACAGCCCGAGCCCAGAUGGCAAAGCAGCCCCAAGCGGGGACAUUUUCUCAGGCUUUCAAAAAGAGCACUUUCUUUCCUGCCUAAUAUUUAACUCCUUCAAAUGCAAAUUGAGAGGUUGCGCUCCAAAGUUAGCAUGACAAUUAUGGGAAAGCUUUAAAUCUGAUGCGUUUGUUUACUCGGUGAAAGGCGGGCAGGACCCGGGAGCUCGGAGGCCCCGGCUUUUCAGCAACUAUUUUCUAACUAGUGAACUGCGAGUCAAUUUUCGACCACAAAGAAAACCAAUUUAUAUCACAGCGUAGGCUAAUUUUGGAGGGAGUUCCACGUUAUUUUCGUUUUCUUUUUAAAUGACCGCUGCAGAAAUAGGAAAGAAAAAUCUUCCUUGUUCUGAACUUUGGUGUAAGCUAAUUGGUAUUAACAAUAGACAAGAAGGGUUUUGCUGUUGUUCUUGUUCUUGUUUUUGUUUUUUGUUUUUGACAAAAUGAGAACCUGGAAUGGGACAAGAAGAGAUAGAGAAUUUUCUAGAGAUUUCAGUAAGGGUGAGUGCGGGAGAGGUUUUUGAUACGAAUACAUAAAAACAUGUCCAAUAAAAAAACCGCGCUUAAUUUUUCCUCAGCUUAAAGUUUAUCUUCCCAAACCUUUAAUGCACAGACAAGGGAAGUGAGAGUGGUCCAGGUGUCCCUGUGUGCUGUGUGAAGGGUCAGAGCCCCUGAGGCCUGUACCUGCAGGGAAAAACACCCCUCCCCCUCUCUGAGGAAGUCUCCCUCCCCCAUUUUCCUCUCUGGUCUCUUUGCUUUGUUUCAUAAAACAUUAUGAUCUACAAGUACAUACUCUAACAACAUUAUCCCAUUUAGAAGGGGAUUUACUGAUCAUGGGAAACAUGCCUUCAUUUUGGAAGACAGCCUGGAAAGGGUGGUCCUCCUAUUCUGUUUUUCUGAGGGUUGGGAUUAUACAG